This 500-nucleotide ribosomal RNA is filed under the name Dothideomycetes sp. 6H0104. RNAcentral's name for it is "eukaryotic LSU rRNA". The stretch from base 144 to 297 matches the Rfam family "5.8S ribosomal RNA". Lineage: Eukaryota; Fungi; Ascomycota; Dothideomycetes. The record is from RNAcentral.
UGUCCGGGAAACCGGUGCAGGGCCGACCUAACCCUUCUUUACGCGUACCUUUUAUUCUCCUUCGGCGGGGUCAAACCCGCCGCUGGAACUUCAAAACCCAUUUGCAUCCAGCAUUAACUGUUCUGAUAACAUAUAAUUGUUACAACUUUCAACAAUGGAUCUCUUGGCUCUGGCAUCGAUGAAGAACGCAGCGAAAUGCGAUAAGUAGUGUGAAUUGCAGAAUUCAGUGAAUCAUCGAAUCUUUGAACGCACAUUGCGCCCCUUGGUAUUCCAUGGGGCAUGCCUGUUCGAGCGUCAUUUACACCCUCAAGCACUGCUUGGUGUUGGGCGUCUGUCCCGCCUUCGCGCGUGGACUCGCCCCAAAGACAUUGGCAGCGGUCUCUGGCACCUCAACGCGCAGUACAAUGCGUAUUUGGGGCGCCGUUGGUCGCAACCAUUAAGCUAUCACCGUCUUUGACCUCGGAUCAGGUAGGGAUACCCGCUGAACUUAAGCAUAUCAA